GCCCGAGUAGCUCAGUGGUAGAGCAUUAGGCUUUUUAACCUAAGGGCCAGGGUUCAAGUCCCUGUUCGGGUG
RNAcentral lists this transfer RNA (72 nucleotides) under Blattella germanica (German cockroach). RNAcentral describes it as "tRNA-Und (NNN) (tRNA-Und-NNN-1-1)". It matches the Rfam family "tRNA". From Rfam's summary of the family: Transfer RNA (tRNA) molecules are approximately 80 nucleotides in length. Their secondary structure includes four short double-helical elements and three loops (D, anti-codon, and T loops). The record is from RNAcentral. Lineage: Eukaryota; Metazoa; Arthropoda; Insecta; Blattodea; Blattellidae.